AUUGAACGCUGGCGGCAUGCCUUACACAUGCAAGUCGAACGGCAGCACGGGUGCUUGCACCUGGUGGCGAGUGGCGAACGGGUGAGUAAUACAUCGGAACAUGUCCUGUAGUGGGGGGUAGCCCGGCGAAAGCCGGAUUAAUACCGCAUACGAUCUACGGAUGAAAGCGGGGGACCUUCGGGCCUCGCGCUAUAGGGUUGGCCGAUGGCUGAUUGGCUAGUUGGUGGGGUAAAGGCCUACCAAGGCGACGAUCAGUAGCUGGUCUGAGAGGACGACCAGCCACACUGGGACUGAGACACGGCCCAGACUCCUACGGGAGGCAGCAGUGGGGAAUUUUGGACAAUGGGCGAAAGCCUGAUCCAGCAAUGCCGCGUGUGUGAAGAAGGCCUUCGGGUUGUAAAGCACUUUUGUCCGGAAAGAAAUCCUUGGCCCUAAUACGGUCGGGGGAUGACGGUACCGGAAGAAUAAGCACCGGCUAACUACGUG
This 486-nucleotide ribosomal RNA is filed under the name uncultured bacterium. RNAcentral's name for it is "partial 16S ribosomal RNA". It matches the Rfam family "Bacterial small subunit ribosomal RNA", at positions 30 to 507 of the family's 1533-position model. The record is from RNAcentral.